UACGUAGGGAGCAAGCGUUGUCCGGAAUCAUUGGGCGUAAAGCGCGCGUAGGUGGCUUCGUAAGUCCGUUGUGAAAGUCAAAGGCUCAACCUUUGAAAGCCGAUGGAUACUGCGGAGCUAGAGUACGGAAGAGGCGAGUGGAAUUCCUGGUGUAGCGGUGGAAUGCGCAGAUAUCAGGAGGAACACCGGUGGCGAAGGCGGCUUCCUGGACCACAACUGACGCUGAGGCGCGAAAGCUAGGGGAGCAAACAGG
Molecule: ribosomal RNA, 253 nt
Filed under: uncultured bacterium
Lineage: Bacteria
Description: partial 16S ribosomal RNA
Rfam family: Bacterial small subunit ribosomal RNA
Source: RNAcentral